This 62-nucleotide transfer RNA is filed under the name Haemadipsa crenata. RNAcentral describes it as "tRNA-Leu". Lineage: Eukaryota; Metazoa; Annelida; Clitellata; Hirudinida; Haemadipsidae. The record is from RNAcentral.
UAUAUAGUGGCAGAAAAGUGCACUAGGUUUAAACCCUAUUUAUGAUUUACCACCCUAUAUAA